RNAcentral lists this ribosomal RNA (466 nucleotides) under uncultured bacterium. RNAcentral's name for it is "partial 16S ribosomal RNA". It matches the Rfam family "Bacterial small subunit ribosomal RNA", at positions 28 to 507 of the family's 1533-position model. The record is from RNAcentral.
GAUGAACGCUGGCGGCGUGCUUAACACAUGCAAGUCGAACGGAAAGGCCCAAGCUUGCUUGGGUACUCGAGUGGCGAACGGGUGAGUAACACGUGGGUGAUCUGCCCUGCACUUCGGGAUAAGCCUGGGAAACUGGGUCUAAUACCGGAUAGGACCACAUUUUGGAUGGUGUGGUGGAAAGUUUUUCGGUGUGGGGUGAGCUCGCGGCCUAUCAGCUUGUUGGUGGGGUAAUGGCCUACCAAGGCGUCGACGGGUAGCCGGCCUGAGAGGGUGUACGGCCACAUUGGGACUGAGAUACGGCCCAGACUCCUACGGGAGGCAGCAGUGGGGAAUAUUGCACAAUGGGCGCAAGCCUGAUGCAGCGACGCCGCGUGGGGGAUGACGGCCUUCGGGUUGUAAACUCCUGUCGCUAGGGACGAAGCGUUAUGUGACGGUACCUGGAGAAGAAGCACCGGCUAACUACGUG